CCCCGCCCCUCGCGGACCCGGAAGUGGGCCUGGCACCUUCCCGGCCGGCCGCAGGGAUGGGGCAGCUGUGCUGGCUGCCGCUGCUGGCACCGCUCCUGUUGCUGCGACCGCCAGGGGUCCAGUCCGUCGGCCCCAUCCGGGCCUUCGUGGUGCCCCACAGCCACAUGGACGUGGGCUGGGUCUACACUGUGCAGGAAAGCAUGCGGGCGUACGCCGCCAAUGUCUACACCUCAGUGGUGGAAGAGCUGGCCCGCGGCCAGCAGCGCCGGUUCAUCGCUGUGGAGCAGGAGUUUUUCCGGCUGUGGUGGGAUGGCGUCGCCUCGGACCAGCAGAAAUACCAGGUCCGCCAGCUCCUGGAGGAAGGACACCUGGAAUUUGUCAUCGGAGGCCAGGUCAUGCAUGACGAGGCUGUGACGCACCUUGAUGACCAGAUCCUGCAGCUCACAGAAGGACACGGGUUUCUCUAUGAAACAUUUGGGAUCCGGCCACAGUUCUCCUGGCACGUUGACCCGUUUGGCGCCUCUGCCACGACCCCCACCCUAUUUGCGCUGGCGGGCUUCAAUGCCCACCUCGGCUCCCGGAUCGACUACGACCUGAAGGCAGCCAUGCAGGAGGCCCGGGGUCUGCAGUUUGUGUGGCGAGGGUCCCCAUCCCUCUCAGAGCAGCAGGAAAUCUUCACGCACAUCAUGGACCAGUACAGCUACUGCACCCCCUCCCACAUUCCUUUCUCCAACAGGGAUCACAAUGAAGAAGGCCGGAGGAGGCCAGGCGCAGUGGCUCACACCUGUAAUCCCAGCACUUUGGGAGGCCGAGGCAGGUCAGGAUUUUACUGGAAUGGUGUGGCUGUCUUCCCCAAGCCUCCCCCAGAUGGGGUAUACCCCAACAUGAGUGAGCCCGUCACCCCAGCCAACAUCAACCUCUAUGCCGAGGCCCUGGUGGCCAACGUGAAGCAGAGAGCCGCCUGGUUCCGGACACCGCACGUCCUCUGGCCCUGGGGAUGUGACAAGCAGUUCUUCAAUGCCUCGGUGCAGUUUGCCAACAUGGACCCGCUGCUGGACCACAUCAACAGCCAUGCUGCCGAGCUUGGUGUCUCGGUACAGUACGCCACGCUGGGCGACUACUUCCGUGCCCUGCACGCUCUCAAUGUCACCUGGCGUGUCCGCGACCACCACGACUUCCUGCCCUAUUCCACAGAACCAUUCCAGGCCUGGACGGGCUUCUACACGUCCCGCAGCGCACUGAAGGGGCUGGCCCGGCGAGCCAGCGCCUUGUUGUAUGCCGGGGAGUCCAUGUUCACACGCUACCUGUGGCCGGCCCCCCGUGGGCAUCUGGACCCCACCUGGGCCCUGCGGCAGCUCCAGCAGCUUCGCUGGGCCGUCUCCGAGGUCCAGCACCAUGAUGCCAUCACUGGGACUGAGUCCCCCAAGGUGAGAGACAUGUACGCAACGCACCUGGCCUCGGGGAUGCUGGGCGUGCGCAAGCUGAUGGCCUCCAUUGUCCUAGAUGAGCUCCAGCCCCAGGCACCCAUGGCAGCCAGCUCCGAUGCAGGACCUGCAGGACAUUUUGCCUCGGUCUACAACCCACUGGCCUGGAUGGUCACCACCAUCGUCACCCUGACUGUUGGUUUCCCUAGAGUCCGCGUCACAGAUGAGGCGGGCCACCCAGUACCCUCGCAGAUCCAGAACUCAACAGAGACCCCAUCUGCGUAUGACCUGCUUAUUCUGACCACAAUCCCAGGCCUCAGUUACCGGCACUACAGCAUCAGACCCACUGCAGGGGCCCAAGAGGGCACCCAGGAGCCGGCUGCCACUGUGGCCAGCACCCUUCAAUUUGGCCGCAGGCUGAGGAGACGCACCAGCCAUGCGGGCAGGUACUUGGUGCCUGUGGCAAACGACUGCUACAUUGUGCUGCUUGACCAGGAUACCAACCUGAUGCACAGCAUCUGGGAGAGACAGAGUAACCGAACGGUGCACGUGACCCAGGAAUUCCUGGAGUACCACGUCAACGGGGAUGUGAAACAGGGCCCCAUUUCCGAUAACUACCUGUUCACACCGGGCAAGGCCGCGGUGCCUGCGUGGGAAGCUGUGGAAAUGGAGAUUGUGGCGGCACAGCUUGUGACUGAGAUCCGGCAGUACUUCUACAGGAACAUGACAGCACAGAAUUACACGUAUGCAAUCCGCUCCCGGCUCACCCAUGUGCCGCAGGGCCAUGACGGGGAGCUGCUCUGCCACCGGAUAGAGCAGGAGUACCAAGCCGGCCCCCUGGAGCUGAACCGUGAGGCUGUCUUGAGGACCAGCACCAACCUAAACAGCCAGCAGGUCAUCUACUCAGACAACAACGGCUACCAGAUGCAGCGGAGGCCCUAUGUUUCCUAUGUGAACAACAGCAUCGCCCGGAAUUACUACCCCAUGGUUCAGUCGGCCUUCAUGGAGGAUGGCAAAAGCAGGCUUGUGUUGCUGUCGGAGCGGGCACAUGGCAUCUCCAGCCAAGGGAAUGGGCAGGUGGAGGUCAUGCUCCACCGGCGGCUGUGGAACAACUUCGACUGGGACCUGGGCUACAACCUCACGCUGAAUGACACCUCAGUCGUCCACCCAGUGCUCUGGCUUCUGCUGGGAUCCUGGUCGCUCACCACUGCCCUGCGCCAGAGGAGCGCACUGGCGCUGCAGCACAGGCCUGUGGUGCUGUUCGGAGACCUCGCCGGGACUGCGCCGAAGCUCCCAGGACCCCAGCAGCAAGAGGCCGUGACGCUGCCCCCGAAUCUUCAUCUGCAGAUCCUGAGCAUCCCUGGCUGGCGCUACAGCUCCAACCACACGGAGCACUCUCAGAAUCUCCGGAAAGGCCAUCGAGGGGAAGCCCAGGCUGACCUCCGCCGUGUCCUGCUGCGGCUCCACCACCUGUAUGAAGUGGGCGAGGACCCAGUCCUGUCUCAGCCAGUGACAGUGAAUCUGGAGGGGAAUCCAGAGAAGCCCCAGUACCUUUUCGCCAUGAUGUCUUACUGGGCCACCCACCUCCUCUUUCAUGAUCCUCGCCACGGAGGAUCCUUUCCUCACGGUCCCUGGCCUGCCUGAGAGCAGGUCUAGGCCAUGGCGGGUACCAGUGCCCAGCACAGGGCCAGCCUGCCCUGGGAAGCAAGGAGGCCGGCGUGGGACCUGGAAGUUGGUCAUCUGAUGCUCCCCCGUUUCACAGAUGGAAGCACCAAGGCCCUGAGACAAGGAGACGGUUGGGAUGGACACCAUGACUCCCUGCCCGACGUGGACGGUGGUGGGGUGGAAAGACCAUUGAGUUAGGAACGCAGUGAGUUUGGCUGCAAGUCACAAAACACCUAACAGAUGUGCUUAGAACAGAGGACAGAGUGUUUUCUCACCGAACAGGCAUGUCCGAUGGACCCCAAGCGCUGUCACCGUGGGCCCGAUCACUGUCGUCCUCCUGCCAUCGCCGGCAGACUGGCUUUUGUCUUUUGCCGUCUGCUUGUUUGCGGUCACAAGAUGGCACAGGCCUCCCUCAUGAGCAAAUUUCAAGGCAGGGUGGGGCUCGGCAGUAGUGGCCAGAAAGGCCUUGCCCUAGCGUGGCUCUCUCCCUCCGUCAGCACACAGAAGCUUCUCCAAGAACCACCCCCACCCCUCCUGCUCCACAGACUUUUCCAGACCCCUAAGGGCCUCCUGCCUCCCCUAGGUGUAAGGGAGGCUGGGACAAGGCCUACUGGGAAAGGGGGAUGGGGUAACUGUGGCUGGCUUCCUCCCUGGACUGGGCACGGGGCCACCUGAGCAAUGUGGGGAGAGGAGAACUCUGCGGUGGGGUGGGCAGCUCAAAAUGCCACACCUCCCGGGCUGCUCCUCCGGCUCGGCCACCUGGUGAAGCAUGCACCUCCCACUUCAGUGUCCUCAUCUGUAAAGUACACGGCCAGUCCUGUCCUCGCAGAUGUGCUGUGAGAAGCAGAUGAGGGAGCUGUGUCAGGCACCAGGGCAGGACCUGGGUUCCUGAGGACACCGAGUUCAUGGUGUGUCUGCCCUGCUGCUGUCUUGGUUCUCUGCUCAGCUCUGGAACUUGGUGCAGCUCACUCUCCCUCUGCUCCUCUCCCUGCAGGCUGUGCUGCAGGCGCUGGGGUCCGUGGUGGCAGUGGAGGAGCGCUCGCUCACAGGGACCUGGGAUUUGAGCAUGCUGCACCGCUGGAGCUGGAGGACGGGGCCUGGCCACCACAGAGGUGACACCACCUCUCCCUCGAGGCCACCAGGAGGCCCCAUCAUCACCGUCCACCCAAAGGAAAUCCGGACGUUCUUCAUUCACUUUCAACAGCAGUGAGCCCUGGGCAGAUGCCCCGGCCCCAGGGCUUCCCCCAGGAACUCCAUGCAACAGAACAGACCCAGGACAGGGAAAAGCAGCACAGAGGGACGGGACUGGGGAGUCAGCUGCUCAUCUGCAGGCUAAUGGCAGAAAAUGGUCAUAUUUGGGGUUUUUCCCCUCAUUUUUUUUUAAUAAAAAUUACAAGAUCCA
Molecule: RNA transcript, 4491 nt
Organism: Pan troglodytes (chimpanzee)
Lineage: Eukaryota; Metazoa; Chordata; Mammalia; Primates; Hominidae
Gene: MAN2B2
Gene name: mannosidase alpha class 2B member 2
Exons: 20
Source: RefSeq, a predicted model, not a curated record